GGUGAGUCGGGUCCUAAGGCGAGGCCGACAGGCGUAGUCGAAUGGAUGAACGGGUGGAUAUUCCCGUACCGACCAUGGACCGGCAAAACCGAGACGGUGAGUACUAACCUCCGCCUCGUGGUGGUUCCUUCCUUCGGGUUGGUGUCGCCGCGUGGUGUUGGGACUGUAGCCGUAGUAGGUCAGCGCAGGGGUGACACGGAAUGGGAGCCGGCCGCGGAGGUGGUUUUCCGUGGUCAAGCACGCAGCCAGUCAUGUAGGCAAAUCCGCAUGGCGCGCAUGGCGAGGUGUGAUGAUGGGAGCCGUUAUGGCUCGAUAUCCGGUUGUCCAGGCCGUCGAGAAAAGCCUCGGCGUGAGGGCCAUGGCCGCCCGUACCCCAAACCGACACUGGUGGUCAGGUAGAGAAUACCAAGGCGAUCGAGCGAAUCCUGGUCAAGGAACUCGGCAAAUCACUCCCGUGCCUUCGGUAUAAGGGAGACCCGCUGGGGUGAACCGGCUAGCCCGGGGAGCUUUGGUGGGUGGCACAGACCAGGGGGUAGCGACUGUUUACCAAAAACACAGGUGCAUGCGAAGGCGCAAGCCGCUGUAUAUGCACUGACGCCUGCCCGGUGCCGGAAGGUUAAGAGGAUCCGUCAGUCCUUCGGGAUGAAGCGGUGAAUUCAAGCCCCGGUAAACGGCGGUGGUAACUAUAACCAUCCUAAGGUAGCGAAAUUCCUUGUCGGGUAAGUUCCGACCUGCACGAAUGGCGUAACGACUUCCCCACUGUCUCGACCAGGAGCUCGGCGAAAUUGCAGUACGAGUAAAGAUGCUCGUUAAGCGCAGAAGGACGAAAAGACCCCGGGACCUUUACUAUACCUUGGUAUUGGCGUUAGGCGCGGAUUGUGUAGCAUAGGCGGGAGGCUUCGAAGCGGGUGCGCCAGCAUUCGUGGAGCCGCAAGGUGAAAUACCGCUCUGUUCUCGUUUGACGUCUAACCUCGACAAGUCAUCCUUGUCAGGGACAGUGCCUGGCGGGUAGUUCAACUGGGGCGGUUGCCUCCCAAAGAGUAACGGAGGCGCUCAAAGGUCCGCUCAGCCCGGUUGGCAAUCGGGUGUCGAGUGUAAUCGCACAAGCGGGCUUGACUGCGAGGACGACGGUCCGAGCAGGGACGAAAGUCGGAGAUAGUGAUCCGGUGCCGGCGCACGGGCGCGGCAUCGCUCAACGGAUAAAAGGUACCCCGGGGAUAACAGGCUGAUCAUUCCCAAGAGUCCAUAUCGACGGGAUGGUUUGGCACCUCGAUGUCGGCUCGUCGCAUCCUGGGGCUGGAGCAGGUCCCAAGGGUUCGGCUGUUCGCCGAUUAAAGCGGCACGCGAGCUGGGUUCAGAACGUCGUGAGACAGUUUGGUCUCUAUCCUCUGCGCUCGUUGGAAUGCUGAGGAGGCCUGCCCAUAGUACGAGAGGACCUGGGUGGACGAACCUCUGGUAUGCCGGUUGUCGCGCCAGCGGCACGGCCGGUUGGCUACGUUCGGGAGGGAUAACCGCUGAAAGCAUCUAAGCGGGAAGCCUGCUCCAAGAUUAGGAUUCCGUACGGUCUUGAACCGUUGUAGCCCGCAUGUUGAACACGUGUUUGAUAGGCCGGAGGUGGAAGCCCCGUGAGGGGUGGAGCCGACCGGUACUAACGGGCGACGGCGACACAAC
This 1671-nucleotide ribosomal RNA is filed under the name human gut metagenome. RNAcentral describes it as "bacterial LSU rRNA". It matches the Rfam family "Bacterial large subunit ribosomal RNA", at positions 1378 to 2925 of the family's 2925-position model. The record is from RNAcentral.